GAAACUAGUAAAGUGGCGCACGGGUGAGUAACGCGUGGGUAAUCUACCUCCGAAUUGGGGAUAACAUUGCGAAAGCGAUGCUAAUACCGGAUAACAUCUCAAUAACUCCGGUCUUUGAGAUCAAAGAUGGCCUCUCCAUGGAAGCUAUUGUUUGGAGAUGAGCCCGCGUACCAUUAGCUUGUUGGUAGGGUAAUGGCCUACCAAGGCUACGAUGGUUAGCUGGUCUGAGAGGAUGAUCAGCCACACUGGAACUGACACACGGUCCAGACUCCUACGGGAGGCAGCAGUGAGGAAUUUUGCGCAAUGGGGGAAACCCUGACGCAGCAACGCCGCGUGAGUGAUGAAGGCUUUCGGGUCGUAAAGCUCUGUCAAGUGAGAAGAACCUGCCCUUUGCUAAUAUCACUGGGCACUGACGGUAUCACUGAAGGAAGCACCGGCUAACUCCGUGCCAGCAGCCGCGGUAAUACGGAGGGUGCAAGCGUUAUUCGGAAUCACUGGGCGUAAAGAGCUUGUAGGCGG
RNAcentral lists this ribosomal RNA (519 nucleotides) under uncultured bacterium. RNAcentral describes it as "bacterial SSU rRNA". It matches the Rfam family "Bacterial small subunit ribosomal RNA", at positions 83 to 578 of the family's 1533-position model. The record is from RNAcentral.